This 418-nucleotide unclassified non-coding RNA is filed under the name Bartonella sp. RNAcentral describes it as "partial 16S-23S ribosomal RNA intergenic spacer". The stretch from base 110 to 183 matches the Rfam family "tRNA". Lineage: Bacteria; Pseudomonadati; Pseudomonadota; Alphaproteobacteria; Hyphomicrobiales; Bartonellaceae. The record is from RNAcentral.
UGGCGAUCUGUUCAUGUUGAUGCUUUGAUGCGCUUAAGGAAACAGUUUUAUUUGUGUUGUUUCUAAUUAUCAGAUUGUGCCGGGGAAGGUUUUUCCGGUUUAGUCCGGAGGGCUUGUAGCUCAGUUGGUUAGAGCGCGCGCUUGAUAAGCGUGAGGUCGGAGGUUCAAGUCCUCCCAGGCCCACCAUUUAUAAUUCCUAGUUUUAUUUAGCGUUUGAUUGAUAAUUGCUUAUAGGGAUAUUAAGCUUAUGAGUAAGUUUAUGAGAAAGUGUUUCAGCUUUUAAUGAACAGGGUUAGAGAGUUCUGAGGGUUUAGGACUGUUUAUUAAAGUUCAGAUAAUGAAGAGAGUUUUGUCUUUUUUUAAUCUUGAAUUAGGGGCCGUAGCUCAGCUGGGAGAGCACCUGCUUUGCAAGCAGGGG